This 5649-nucleotide long non-coding RNA is filed under the name Musa acuminata (dwarf banana). Its description in RNAcentral is "long non-coding RNA (MACU_LNC010997)". The record is from RNAcentral. Lineage: Eukaryota; Viridiplantae; Streptophyta; Magnoliopsida; Zingiberales; Musaceae.
UAGAUUACAAAGAUGUUAUGACACAAACACCAUCCUGUUUAUAAGAAUCAGGUUUUUUAAAGACUAAUUAACAUUAAUCAAAUCAAAAUAUUAAAAAGAAUUAAGAAUUUGACGAUUAAAAGAGUUAUCCAAUACUCUCAUCUUUUGCAAGCCUGGAUAAGUUUGAUAAUUUAUUGGGUUAAAAAUCAAAUAAAAUAGCAAAUGAUUAAUUGGUUAGAUUAGUAUAUAUGAUCUAAUUAAUUCAGUUCCAAACCAUAGCUAGUUUUGCUUUAAGUUAUGCCUGUAUAUUUGUUUAGAUGAUCAUUAGAAAAUUUUACAUAAAUUACACUCUAUUUACUUGUGGUCCGAAUGUGUGCUUAAAGGGAAUUUUGCAGCAUGAUGUAUGUAUGUCUGUAAAAACACUUACCUUGUUGGUAUACUUUGUAUCAAAUUUUCCAAUCUUGAUCCCAAUGUUUGGCAUUAAUCACGUAAGUUGGUGUUAGGUUUAUUCUAAUUAGAUUGGAAGUUUCUGGGUGCGGGGUAAGUUUCACUUGUUGAGGGAUUGACGAGGAGCAAGACAAGAAUACGAGAUCAAUGAUAUAUCUAAUAUAUCAAAUCUUAACGUGGUACGCGUAGUCAAAUGAUGAUUCCAUAUCAUGACAAAUCAUCUGAUUUUAUCAACGAAUAGUUUUUUCCUAUCUUCUUACCAUGCAUAAAUACUAGGGAUAGUUUGAUAUCAAAUAUCAUGAUUCGAGCUUGAUGGACUAAUUGAUUUAUCAAUUUUGUUUCAUCGAAAUUGUUGAUCAAAAUAUCUAAGCUUCAUUUUUAACGAGAGAGUAACCAGACAUAGACAUUCAAAAAGACUUCUUGUUUUAUAUUUGCUUUGAUAUUGUCAAUCAACUUUUUUCAUGUGAUUCGAGUGUUAGGUUUAUGCUGAUCAACUAAAGUAUCGGAAGGCUCCUCUUGGAGUCCUUGUUUGAUGAAUGAAGGGUUGGUGCAAAGCAUGGUGUAAUACAAAAAUGGGUACCAACCACUUUAUUCCUCCUGGUUUGAAGGACUACUUGUCUUGGCAGCACACUGUCACGGACUUAGCUGGUUUUGCCAAAGUCGUGCGGCACCCUUGCGUGUCCGUCCGCAAAGGUCAGCCUCCCCGAAACCUCCCACGGUCCCUUAGGACCUACAAAAGAGAAAACGGGUUAGAAAAACGCCUCACUCGGGAUCCACAAGCAAACAAUCCAGGAAACACUUUAUGGACAAUGCAAAUUACAAAGAGACUUUACAAGCUCAGAACAGUUGCACAACAAAUGUUAAAAAUGAUCCAUUACAGACCGAGAAUCUCUCACGUGUGUCCACAUAACACAACCUUUAUUUACAAGCCUACAAGGGGACUCUUAGCCUUCGGCAGUCCCUCUAUAUGCUGUGCAGAGCAUGAACAAACCAAAAGACACAGACAUACAUGAGCAUUGCAUCCAACAUCCUGUUUCGAAGUUUGUCCGUGACAUUCUCCCCCACUUAUUCCUUCGACGUCCUCGUCGAAGCCUUUGCCGACACUGCAACUCCUUGCCUUUGCUGAGUCUUCAAUCUCCUGCUCCAACUGCAAUGCACCUCCUGGCUCCCAGCUGCUCUCCGCUGUUGUUUUUGAGUAGUCGAACCUUUGAUCCGCCAUGCUGCUUCAACUCACCAAUGACUCUGACUCUAGUGUGGGGUUGGUUGAGUUGUGUUGAUCCUUGUUGGUUCCUGCGGAUCCUCCAAAUGAAGGAAAAGACCAUCCUUACUGUGCCAGUCUCUCAAAAUUCCACAUGCUGCUUGAAUUGGGUGGAUGCUUGUUGGAGCUUUAACGAGCAUCCUUUCGCAAACUUCUGAAGUUUUGGGUCCUUCCUCCACAAAAUUUGUCCAUUGACUCUUUUUUCGUUUAGUUGUCACCUCCAUGUAGGUUCGCAACACUUCCGCUUUCGAUUGGCAUUUCGUUGGGAAAUGAAGCGGACAAUCUACUCUCAGUAGCACUGAUCACCGUUGGUGAGGAUUUGACAACUAUUGUCUUCCAUUAUCUUCGAAGGGUCUUUGAACUUGUGUAGAGCUCCUCUGCUGGAUAGAUAAGAGAAUUGGGGUACUCGGUUUUGCCCAUUCUCUUAAUAGUUGAGAAGGCAAAGGUUACUUGACUUCGCCCGCCUCCUCGAGGUUGUACUCCAUGCAUCGAGCUGGUUACUAGCCUUCGCCUGCUCUUUGCUCACACUUCUGAAGCACUUGAAGUGUUUGCACUCCUUGCAUUGAGUUAGUUACUGUGAUUCACCUUCUCAAUGCCAUUGAACUUCUGGAAUGCCGGAAGUUUUCACCCCAACUUGGAGUAGUUCAUUGAUAGAUUUGGUCGCCCCUGGGAAUGUACCGUCUUCUCCAUCAACCCUGCCGCCUACUCCACUGAGUAGCAAAGGUACAGCACCGCGUACUGUCUGCUUCGUUCCUUGGUCGUGCACUCUUGCAUGACCCGAAGUCCUUCUCUUUCGGCUAUCUUGAUGAGAAGCUUGUUGACACCGGUCUUACGAAGUUCCUUGGCCUCGCCCUUCAGCCUUGUCUCAGUACAUGGAGUUUGCCUCUGCGUACUCCAUCUCCUCGGCCCCUUUCACGACCAAGCGCUCUCCCUCCAUGAGAGCAAGGGAUCAAUGACUUUCACGAAAGUCCCGCCUCUGCGGUACCAUGGCGCUGCCAUGCCCAUGGCCCUACUAUCCAUCGCCUCGCAUCUGCAUCCUUUUUCUUCACAAUCAGUAGAUAUGUCUCUGUGGCACUCCUCCGAGUCCACCUCCAUUCUAACUGAUGCUUGAUUUUGGGUAGCUAAGUCCCUCUGGACUCGUCGUCGCUUCCUCGCCCUUUUUCGACCCCCUGCUUCAACACCUCUGGGUUCUCCAAGCAGAUCUCUUUGGUCGACGGAAAGACAGACUGCAACCCCCAUGCAUGGCCUCUGCCAUCACGUUGUAGGAUUUGCACCGAUUCUGUUCUCCUUAGCUUCCUUGGUAACAACGUUCGCUUACUCGACCUUGUCCUCUGACUUGUCGGGCUCCCUUAAGCGAAUAUAGUUCUGGAGCAGUCCAACUCUCCAGCUGCUUCGAUCAUAACUCUGCAUGAUCAAGUCCCUCCCAUGGGACUCACUGGUCCUUACAUUCGAACUUCUCCCUUGGUGGAACACAGCCCCCAUAUGCUGAUGACCAAGGCUUUCACCCGAUGCAAAAUUCGAUGCACGCACGGAAGACCCGCCUCUGCGGUACCAUGGCCUUCACUCCUUGAAUCCAUAGCCCUUCUUGCCGUCGUGUUGUUCACCGAAGUGGAGCUUCCAGUAGCUCCUGAUCAUACCUCCAUAUGAUCAAGUCCCUCACGGGGUGCUGUGUGUAUCGUAUUGCCGCGAACUAUUCCACCACGAUCCACUGCACCAUGUUGCCUCCUAGUGACAUCUCCAUUGCAUUCUGAUCCUUGUGGGGUGAACUCGAAUUGUGAACCCUCCAUGUGUGGCCUCUGCCAAUACAUCGCAGGGUCUCCUCCACUUUCGACUUUGUUCGCUCCUUUGGCAAUCGACCUUCAUCCACCCACUCUUGGGUCACACUUAGAUGAAGCACCGCUCUAGGACAGUCCAUCGCCUAGUAGCUCCCGAAGUCCACCGACUUCGCUGAAAAUGGUGCACCAUUGUCUGGAUCCUGGGUCUCUGCCCCUACCAACACAAUCUCCGCUGCGCACCGCUUCCUUCAAGCAACUUGAAUAGAAACACUGUGGCAUAUUCUUCAAGAGUACCCGCCUUCGCGUCCUCUUGCCCCGUGCCAAGGCCUUCUGAACCCAAGUUCGCCUCUGCGAGUUGAGUCGCCUUAGUUCCUUCGCCAAAUGCUUCUCUGAGAUAAGGUGCAUGUGCCCAGAAGCUCCCUUCAUCUUUGGCACCAUGCAAGGUGAGUCCACUCCAACAGAAAGAAGGACCCAUGGAACAACAUGAUUCUGCUCUUGCCUCUGCAAGAGUUCAUGUCCUUGACCUCUGUCCAGGGAAAGCUCUGCGCCUCCGCUCCAUGUUCCAUCUUCUAUGCCGACUCACUUCAUACGGCUUGGGUACUUCGCCAAGUCACACCCAAGUUGCUCCGCUCCUCGUUUUUGUAUUGCGUUGAUGGUGGCCCUCGCGCCCACCAUUCCACGGGUCAGCCCUCCCUUGAGUCCGAUCUCCAUAUCGACUCCAAGUGUGCCUUCAUUUGUGUUGCUUUUGGUCGCUCCCCCACUUGAUCUCGCAAUGCAUCCACCAAUGCAUUCUCUCAAGCGAGAUCAUGCGACGACUCCUCGCCGCUCGCUCAGUCUGUUGAGCUUCAUGAAGUUGUUGAAGGACUCCUCCUCAACAUGUGCGGUCCGUUGCACAUGAUUCUCCCUCUGGAGAGCCGGGACUUAUCCCUCCUGGAUAUCUAUCCCGUUGGAGCAACAUCUCUCUUCAAUUCGGAGACCACCAUCCCCUUGGACUACUCCGAUUUGCCGAACAAACUGUGCAUUGUUCUGCCUCCUGCAAACGCAUUUGCUAGAUUGCGACUCCACGUCAAUACAGCCACCGCUGCACCACUCAAGGCCUAGCAACAUGCUGAACUCGCUGUACACUUCAGCCUCCUACGGACGUAUCCUUUGCAUGCCGAAGAGAAUGUUCCAAUGCUCCAUGGUGCCGAGCUCCGGUCGCUUUGGGAUGGCCACGAACAGUCCGUCGUCCGUAUACAAGCCCUUGCAUGAGUACCGAAUUCUUUGAGUUAGCAAUUCCCCUCACCUCUGUGAGCUUUGCAUAACUCUUUCGGUCGCCGAACAACCCAUUCCACCUUACAUGGUCUCGACUUUUGCCAAGCGCCUCGCUUGCUUUGAGCACCAUCAAGUGUUGUUGUCAACGUUGAGCCGUAACUCAAACUCAGCCAUCCCAACAUUUGUGCGCUCCACAUUCUUCCCAGCUUGCUUGUCCUCGUGGUGCCUUUGGCACGAAGGGUUGGCCAUUCCUCUGAAUGCCAAUCUCAGAUGCCCGCUCCUCUGAGCGACUCCUUUUCCCUACAUCUCAAUGUCCGUUUUCCCCAAAACGGUCGCGCGUGCUAGCUGCCCUCAACGCAGCCCCACUAGGUCCCCCACGUUUGCAUGUCAAGUGUUUCUAUGAGUGCUUGUCCCGCUCUGAUACCAUCUGUCACGGACUUAGCUGGUUUUGCCUAAGUCAUGCGGCACCCUUGCGUGUCCGUCUGCAAAGGUCAGCCUCCCCGAAACCUCUCACGGUCCCUUAGGACCUACAAAAGAGAAAACGAGUUAGAAAAACGCCUCACUCGGGAUCCACAAGCAAACAAUCCAGGAAACACUUCAUGGACAAUGCAAAUUACAAAGAGACUUUACAAGCUCAGAACAGUUGCACAACAAAGGUUAAAGAUGAUCCAUUACAGACCGAGAAUCUCUCACGCGUGUUCACAUGACACAACCUUUAUUUACAAGCCUACAAUGGGACUCUUAGCCUUCGGCAGUCCCUCUACAUGCUGUGCAGAGCAUGAACAAACCAAAAGACACGGACAUACAUGAGCAUUGCAUCCAACAUCCUGUUUCGAAGUUUGUCCGUGACAACACGGAGGAUGGACUUGUUAUUUAAUUCCACAAGAUAAUGCAGGUGUGUUUGUCUUCAUUACACGUUGGCCUCUUUAUGUUAUU